GAUGAACGCUGGCGGCGUGCCUAAUACAUGCAAGUCGAGCGAACGGACGAGAAGCUUGCUCCUCUGUUGUUAGCGGCGGACGGGUGAGUAACACGUGGAUAACCUACCUAUAAGACUGGGAUAACUUCGGGAAACCGGAGCUAAUACCGGAUAAUAUCUUGAACCGCAUGGUUCAAAAGUGAAAGAUGGUCUUGCUGUCACCUAUAGAUAGAUCCGCGCUGCAUUAGCGAGUUGGUAAGGUAACGGCGUACCAAGGCAACGAUGCAUAGCCGACCUGAGAGGGUGAUCGGCCACACUGGAACUGAGACACGGUCCAGACUCCUACGGGAGGCAGCAGUAGGGAAUCUUCCGCAAUGGGCGAAAGCCUGACGGAGCAACGCCGCGUGAGUGAUGAAGGUCUUCGGAUCGUAAAACUCUGUUAUUAGGGAAGAACAUAUGUGUAAGUAACUGUGCACAUCUUGACGGUACCUAAUCAGAAAGCCACGGCUAACUACGUG
This 497-nucleotide ribosomal RNA is filed under the name uncultured bacterium. RNAcentral describes it as "partial 16S ribosomal RNA". It matches the Rfam family "Bacterial small subunit ribosomal RNA", at positions 28 to 507 of the family's 1533-position model. The record is from RNAcentral.